GUAGGGAAUAUUGGGCAAUGGAAGGAAUUCUGACCCAGCCAUGCCGCGUGCAGGAAUACAGUCCUAUGGACUUUAAACUGCUUUUAUUAUAGAGUAACCUGGGGGACGUGUCCCCCACUGCAAGUAUAUAAUGAAUAAGCAUCGGCUAACUCCGUGCCAGCAGCCGCGGUAAUACGGGGGAUGCAAGCGUUAUCCGGAUUUAUUGGGUUUAAAGGGUGCGCAGGCUGAUCGGUAAGUCAUGGGUGAAAAGUCACUGCUUAACAGUGAUCGUGCCUAUGAUACUGCCGGACUAGAGUUUAAGAGGUGUAACUGGAAUGUGAUGUGUAGCGGUGAAAUGCUUAGAUAUGUCACAGAACGCCAAUCGUGAAGACAGGUUACAAACUUAAUACUGACGCUCAUGCACGAAAGCGUGGGGAUCAAACAGGAUUAGAAACCCGUGUAGUCC
RNAcentral lists this ribosomal RNA (445 nucleotides) under uncultured bacterium. RNAcentral's name for it is "partial 16S ribosomal RNA". It matches the Rfam family "Bacterial small subunit ribosomal RNA", at positions 354 to 796 of the family's 1533-position model. The record is from RNAcentral.